RNAcentral lists this ribosomal RNA (328 nucleotides) under Aspergillus tubingensis. Its description in RNAcentral is "SSU rRNA". It matches the Rfam family "Eukaryotic small subunit ribosomal RNA", at positions 1 to 332 of the family's 1831-position model. Lineage: Eukaryota; Fungi; Ascomycota; Eurotiomycetes; Eurotiales; Aspergillaceae. The record is from RNAcentral.
UAUCUGGUUGAUUCUGCCAGUAGUCAUAUGCUUGUCUCAAAGAUUAAGCCAUGCAUGUCUAAGUAUAAGCACUUUAUACUGUGAAACUGCGAAUGGCUCAUUAAAUCAGUUAUCGUUUAUUUGAUAGUACCUUACUACAUGGAUACCUGUGGUAAUUCUAGAGCUAAUACAUGCUGAAAACCUCGACUUCGGAAGGGGUGUAUUUAUUAGAUAAAAAACCAAUGCCCUUCGGGGCUCCUUGGUGAAUCAUAAUAACUUAACGAAUCGCAUGGCCUUGCGCCGGCGAUGGUUCAUUCAAAUUUCUGCCCUAUCAACUUUCGAUGGUAGG